AGCUAGUUGGUGGGGUAAAAGCUCACCAAGGCGACGAUCUGUAGCGGGUCUGAGAGGAUGAUCCGCCACACUGGAACUGAGACACGGUCCAGACUCCUACGGGAGGCAGCAGUGGGGAAUUUUGGACAAUGGGGGCAACCCUGAUCCAGCCAUGCCGCGUGAGUGAAGAAGGCCUUCGGGUUGUAAAGCUCUUUCGGCCGGGAAGAAAUCGUAUCAGCUAAUACCUGGUGCGGAUGACGGUACCGGCAUAAGAAGCACCGGCUAACUACGUGCCAGCAGCCGCGGUAAUACGUAGGGUGCGAGCGUUAAUCGGAAUUACUGGGCGUAAAGCGUGCGCAGGCGGUUUUGUAAGACAGGCGUGAAAUCCCCGGGCUCAACCUGGGAACUGCGUUUGUGACUGCAAGGCUAGAGUACGGCAGAGGGGGGUGGAAUUCCACGUGUAGCAGUGAAAUGCGUAGAGAUGUGGAGGAACACCAAUGGCGAAGGCAGCCCCCUGGGUCGAUACUGACGCUCAUGCACGAAAGCGUGGGUAGCAAACAGGAUUAGAUACCCUGGUAGUCCACGCCCUAAACGAUGUCAACUAGGUGUUGGGAGGGUAAAACCUUUUAGUACCGGAGCUAACGCGUGAAGUUGACCGCCUGGGGAGUACGGCCGCAAGGUUAAAACUCAAAGGAAUUGACGGGGACCCGCACAAGCGGUGGAUGAUGUGGAUUAAUUCGAUGCAACGCGAAAAACCUUACCUACCCUUGACAUGUCAGGAACUUUCCAGAGAUGGAUUGGUGCUCGAAAGAGAACCUGAACACAGGUGCUGCAUGGCUGUCGUCAGCUCGUGUCGUGAGAUGUUGGGUUAAGUCCCGCAACGAGCGCAACCCUUGUCGUUAAUUGCCAUCAUUUAGUUGGGCACUUUAACGAGACUGCCGGUGACAAACCGGAGGAAGGUGGGGAUGACGUCAAGUCCUCAUGGCCCUUAUGGGUAGGGCUUCACACGUCAUACAAUGGUCGGUACAAAGGGUCGCCAAGCCGCGAGGUGGAGCUAAUCCCAGAAAGCCGAUCGUAGUCCGGAUUGCAGGCUGCAACUCGCCUGCAUGAAGUCGGAAUCGCUAGUAAUCGUGGAUCAGCAUGUCACGGUGAAUACGUUCCCGGGUCUUGUACACACCGCCCGUCACACCAUGGGAGCGGGUUCCGCCAGAAGUAGGUAGCCUAACCGCAAGGAGGGCGCUUACCACAGCGGGGUUCGUGACUGGGGUGAAGUCGUAACAAGGUAGCCGUAGGGGAACCUGCGGCUG
Molecule: ribosomal RNA, 1286 nt
Filed under: metagenome
Description: bacterial SSU rRNA
Rfam family: Bacterial small subunit ribosomal RNA
Source: RNAcentral